RNAcentral lists this ribosomal RNA (414 nucleotides) under uncultured microorganism. Its description in RNAcentral is "bacterial SSU rRNA". It matches the Rfam family "Bacterial small subunit ribosomal RNA", at positions 9 to 417 of the family's 1533-position model. The record is from RNAcentral.
GUAGUUUGAUCAUGGCUCAGAGUGAACGCUGGCGGUAGGCCUAACACAUGCAAGUCGAACGGCAGCACAGAGGAGCUUGCUCCGUUGGGUGGCGAGUGGCGGACGGGUGAGGAAUACAUCGGAAUCUACUCUGUCGUGGGGGAUAACGUAGGGAAACUUACGCUAAUACCGCAUACGACCUACGGGUGAAAGCAGGGGAUCUUCGGACCUUGCGCGAUUGAAUGAGCCGAUGUCGGAUUAGCUAGUUGGCGGGGUAAAGGCCCACCAAGGCGACGAUCCGUAGCUGGUCUGAGAGGAUGAUCAGCCACACUGGAACUGAGACACGGUCCAGACUCCUACGGGAGGCAGCAGUGGGGAAUAUUGGACAAUGGGCGCAAGCCUGAUCCAGCCAUACCGCGUGGGUGAAGAAGGCCU